AGAUCUUAAAAAGAGAGUUGUAUCAUCUGCUAGCUGUGAGAUUUUUAGGCUGUGAGUUUUUUUAUCAAUUUUUAUUUGUAUCCCUUUCAGAUCAUUAUUAUCUCUUAUUCUACAAGCCAGUAUUUCAACAGAUAAAACAAACAAUAACGCGCUUAAAGGGCAUCCUUGUCGAAUUCCCCGUUGAAUCCCGAAGGUUUCAGAAAUCCACCCGUUAUUUAAAAUACAUCCUUUUAUAUCACAAUAAAGUGUUUUGACCCACUUUUGAAAAGACUUGUUAAAUCCAAAUUUUUUUUAAUGAUUCCAGCAUGAAGUCCCAUUCGAGUGAAUCGAACGCUUUAGAAAAGUCAAUAAAUAGUAUAGCUCCAUCAAUAUUAAAGUUUUCAGCAUAAUCUAUAAUAUCUUGAAUUUGGCGUACGUUGAAUCCUAUAUAUCGAUUUUUAACGUAACCAUUUUGAUCUCUAUGUAUAAUUAGGGGUAAGAUUUUUUUUAGUCUUUGUGCUAAGGUAUAUGUAAUAAGUUUUACAUCAGUAUUCAACAAAGUAAUUGGACGGUAAUUAUCUAAGGACAAAGGGUCAUUUUUUUUGAAAAUCAAUGAUAUUAUCCCAAUCUUUUGGGUCUCAGAUAAAGUUUCAUUAUCAUAACAUGUGUUAGAAACAUUCAAUACAAUAUGCUUUAAAUUUGGCCAAAAUUGUCGAUAAAACUCAACUGUUAAGCCAUCUUUGCCUGGAGUCUUAUUUAGUUUCAUAUUCCAUUCUGAAAGUCAUAAUCGUAACAGUCUUUCACUAUAGCAAAUAAAGUAAAAGCAUCAAUCAAUCGACAUUAAGUCUUCAGACAAUAUUAUACAUGAAAUCAAACAGUGAAUACAAAUAGGUUGUGCGGUUUGCCUUAACAAUAAGUUGUUAUCGUUAUAGAUAUAAAUAGAAAGUGAAAGUAAUAAGAAUCUAGUAUAGUUCAAAGAGAAAGUUAGUCGAUAAAGUUAUUAACGAUGUGGUUAUCUCCUAUUCUUGCACGUCUGUGUAGUGGUCCUCAUAGAUGUUUCUAGUGGUAAUAAUGUAGAAAUGAUGGAAGUAGCUCAUAUGUAUCAUGAGAGCUAAUUCCAUCAUUUCUACAUUAUUACCAUAGAAACAUCUAUUACACAGACGUGCAAGAAUAGGAGAUAACCACAUCGUUAAUAACUUUAUCGACUAACUUUCUCUUUGAACUAUACUGGAUUCUUAUUUUACUUUCACUUUCUAUUUAUAUCUUAAGGUCAUAACAACCUCUAUUGUUAAGGCAAACCGCACAACCGCAAAAUUUGUACUUCACUGUUUGAUUUCAUGUAUAUAUUGUCUUGUUUGUGACCACAAUAAAUUAAUCAAGUAAUUAGUCUUUAAUUACGUUUAUUUGCUUUUAUAUGAAAGACAACUGUGAAUAUUCAAUUCACGAUUUAUUCAUUAUUAAGUUGAAGUACUUUUUUACUUGAAUGCACGAAGGAUCAAUUAAAGCGGUAUAGCAUGAACGAAAACGGAAUUUAAAGAGGACGUUAAUUACAAUUUUUAAGGAAACAUACAAGAAAAGUCAUCAUGAAGAUUUUACCAUACAUAAGUAACAAAUCAAUCAAUAUUACUUUCCAAUCUUUAAAUUCAUCUCAUGAUAAAGUUUCAGAUUCAUCAAAUCAUGUAUUAGAAAUAUUCAAUGAACAAUAUGUUUUAAAUUUGGCCAAAAUUGAAAUUGAUAAAACUCAACUGUUAAGCCAUCUUUGCCUGGAGUCUUAGUUAUUUAGUUUCAUAUUAUAAAUAGAAGAUGUUAGCUCUUCUAAAGUUAAUUUACCAUCCACUUGUUUGCUUUCACAAGGAGUUUAAAGAAUGAUCAAUGGGGGUAUUUUCUAUGUAUGUCUUUAAAAUUUCAGUUUCGGGACAUGUACUUUUGUACAGAGAUUUAUAAUACUCUUUACUUACAUCUAAAAUUUCACUUUGAUCAACAGUAACCUCACCGGUUUUGGUCAUUAAUUUAUUAAUAGAUUUUUUAGCCUGUCUAUUUUUUUCUAGAGAUAAAAAGUACUUAGUAUUUUUUUCCCCUUCCUCUACCCAUUUUAUUCUUGAUCUAACUUGGGCUCCUUUGGCUUUUAAAAGAGUAUAUCUCUUCUAAAUCUUUUUCUAAAUUUUUUAUUUGAUUAAAAAGUUCAUUAUUUUUCCUAUCAGGUAAUUUGUCUAAUCUUUCAUUUAAAAGAUUUAGUUUGUUUUCCAUUAUUAAAAUAUUAUUUUUCCUUUCUCUGGCUUUUGAUUUACAGUAUUGGAUAGUAGACUCUCUUAUGUCAGUUUUUAGCAGGUCCCACUGAUUUAGGACAUUUGUAAGAUUAAAAUUUUGCUCAUACUUUUCAAUUAACUUAUUUAUUAGUUUAUUGUACUGAGUAUCAGUCAAUAUACUGUUAUUCAUUUUAAAAUAUCCUUUACCCCGAUUAUUUGCAUAAAUGUCUAAUUUAAGCGAAAUAGCCUGGUGGUCUGUGAAUGAAAUUUGUGCAGGCCUGAUAUCAGCAGAUACAGUACUUAGGCGUGCUUGUGUGCAUAUUAUAAAGAAGUCUAUUCUACUAGCUUCAUUUGUAGAAUUUUUUCUUUUCCAUGUGAAUUGUUUUUUAUCUUUAUUUAAUUGUCUCCAAAUGUCUAUCAAUUUAUGUGUUUUAAUUAAUUGUUUUAAACCAUUGACUGGCUUUUUUAACUUUUUAUGUAAUUUAUUGUUCUUUGUAUCUAAAGCUGAGAGUAAAUCAUUCAUAUCUCCCCCUACUAUUAGAGCACCAAGAGUGUGUUCUUCAAUUAAUUUACUUACUUUUUUAUAAAAUUGGUUUCUUGCAUGAACUUCAUUAGGUGCAUACAAGUUUACUAAGGUAAAAAUCUUAUCUUGAAUUUCUAUAUUAAUUAUAAUAAUUCUCCCUUCUUUAUCACAAAAUUCAUUAAUUAAUUUAAAGUCUAGUGAUUUAUUAAUAAAGUAAGAAACUCCCCUUGAAUUUGUUGUGCCUAGGCUGUGAAGAUGUUUGCCAUGGAAUUCAUUGUUAAUUUGCUUUAUCAAAUCUUUUGACAAGUGAGUUUCUUGUGCCAUUAAAAUGUCGCAUUUCUGCUGUUGAAACCAAGAGAAUAAUCUAAAGCGCUUUUCCUUUCUCGCUAAACCUUGACAAUUAAGUGAGCAAAUGUGGAAGUUUUUUGUUUUCAUUAUAGUAUUAAAGAAGUUUAAUUGUUGAUCUCUUAAACGAUUUAUUUAAAUCUAGCAAAAUGUAUAAACCUGUUCUAUGUAUCGUGACCCAGAUAAACAUGUAGUUAUUUUUAGACCUAUAAAUAGCACAGGUAAAGUUAAUUUCUAUUUUUAGUUUCAUUACUGACUUUCUGAAAACGUCUUGUAUUUUGUAAACAUUAGCAUUGUCAUUUACUGUAAUUUUGAUAGCGCGGGUGGUUCUUUUGUAUUUACAACUUUUAUAUUUUUUUACAGAUAUGGAAUUAAUCGUGUCACAGAAUGUUGUUAGCCAAAUGACUUUACUAGAAGUGCUUAAUUCUGGAAAUAUGUGCACAACAAAGAAGUGUGUGAUAUCUAAGUUCAAGAACAGUUGGAUAUUUUUGGCUGUUUUGUUAAUGUUUAUAAAAAAUAACUGUGUAGAAAUAUGUUCGUAUCCUGAAGAAAAGAACAUCGGAAGAUUGUCAUUUACCGAAACUGUACUUUUAUACUUCAAGACUGGCUUUUUUUUACUUGAUUCCAAGAAUAUAUUAUGACAAAGGAUUAAAGUGUGUCUAUGAAUACUGCAUUUCGUUAAUUUAGUGCUCCAACCAAUUAAGCAAUUUUCAUUUGUUUUAGAUGUGCAUGGAACAAUAUUUUUUAUCCAAGAAGAUUUACCACCUUUAUAUUCAU
This 3870-nucleotide long non-coding RNA is filed under the name Mytilus galloprovincialis (Mediterranean mussel). The record is from RNAcentral. Lineage: Eukaryota; Metazoa; Mollusca; Bivalvia; Mytilida; Mytilidae.